GAUGAACGCUGGCGGCGUGCCUAAUACAUGCAAGUCGAGCGAACAGACGAGGCGCUUGCUCCUCUGACGUUAGCGGCGGACGGGUGAGUAACACGUGGAUAACCUACCUAUAAGACUGGGAUAACUUCGGGAAACCGGAGCUAAUACCGGAUAAUAUAUUGAACCGCAUGGUUCAAUAGUGAAAGACGGUUUUGCUGUCACUUAUCGAUGGAUCCGCGCCGCAUUAGCUAGUUGGUAAGGUAACGGCUUACCAAGGCAACGAUGCGUAGCCGACCUGAGAGGGUGAUCGGCCACACUGGAACUGAGACACGGUCCAGACUCCUACGGGAGGCAGCAGUAGGGAAUCUUCCGCAAUGGGCGAAAGCCUGACGGAGCAACGCCGCGUGAGUGAUGAAGGUCUUCGGAUCGUAAAACUCUGUUAUUAGGGAAGAACAAAUGUGUAAGUAACUAUGCACGUCUUGACGGUACCUAAUCAGAAAGCCACGGCUAACUACGUG
Molecule: ribosomal RNA, 497 nt
Filed under: uncultured bacterium
Lineage: Bacteria
Description: partial 16S ribosomal RNA
Rfam family: Bacterial small subunit ribosomal RNA
Source: RNAcentral